This 460-nucleotide ribosomal RNA is filed under the name uncultured Methylomirabilota bacterium. RNAcentral's name for it is "bacterial SSU rRNA". It matches the Rfam family "Bacterial small subunit ribosomal RNA", at positions 977 to 1434 of the family's 1533-position model. The record is from RNAcentral. Lineage: Bacteria; Methylomirabilota (SeqCode).
GGGCUUGACAUCCCACGAACCUGCCCGAAAAGGUGGGGUGCCCGCAAGGGAGCGUGGAGACAGGUGGUGCAUGGCUGUCGUCAGCUCGUGUCGUGAGAUGUUGGGUUAAGUCCCGCAACGAGCGCAACCCUCACCCCUAGUUGCCACCGGGUUAAGCCGAGCACUCAAGGGGAACUGCCAGCGUCAAGCUGGAGGAAGGCGGGGAUGACGUCAAGUCAUCAUGCCCCUUACGCCCUGGGCUACACACGUGCUACAAUGGCCAGUACAAAGGGACGCGAGUCUGCGAAGCGGAGCUAAUCCCAAAAAGCUGGUCUAAGUCCAGAUUGCAGUCUGCAACUCGACUGCAUGAAGGAGGAAUCGCUAGUAAUCGCGCAUCAGCCCGGCGCGGUGAAUACGUUCCCGGGCCUUGUACACACCGCCCGUCACACCACGAAAGCUGUCUGUACUCGAAGUCGCUGAG